Molecule: transfer RNA, 75 nt
Filed under: Gammaproteobacteria bacterium
Lineage: Bacteria; Pseudomonadati; Pseudomonadota; Gammaproteobacteria
Also listed under: 1 other name
Description: tRNA-Val
Rfam family: tRNA
About the family: Transfer RNA (tRNA) molecules are approximately 80 nucleotides in length. Their secondary structure includes four short double-helical elements and three loops (D, anti-codon, and T loops).
Source: RNAcentral
GGGCGGUUAGCUCAGCGGUAGAGCACUGCUUUCACACGGCAGGGGUCAAUGGUUCAAUCCCAUUACCGCCCACCA